Molecule: ribosomal RNA, 1413 nt
Filed under: Salmonella enterica subsp. enterica serovar Mississippi str. A4-633
Lineage: Bacteria; Pseudomonadati; Pseudomonadota; Gammaproteobacteria; Enterobacterales; Enterobacteriaceae
Description: partial large subunit ribosomal RNA
Source: RNAcentral
CAUUAGGAGUUAUCCUGGCUGGCAGUUUCGCCUUAUCCGGCCUGUAUGCACUUAUCAGGCAGCACCACUACUCACGGAUAAAUUAAAUUCAACAAUGGAUACGGUUUCCCAAGAUCGUCAACCUCCGAACGUCCCGUCACCUUAAAUCCCAUUUUCUUAUAAAAUCCAACAGCUUGUGUAUUUUGCUCGUUAACAUUGGUUGUCAACCCCGGCGCCAGUGUUAACGCAUGUUCAACUAAUCUCUUACCGAUACCCUGACCACGCACGUCCGGAUCGACAAACAGCGCAUCCAUAUGUUCGCCGGUAAGCAGCAUAAAUCCUACCGGCUCAUCCUGAUCGGUCACGGCAACCCAUAGUGGCGCUUCUGGCAGAAAAUCGCUCACCAGCUCUUCCAGUUCGGCCCGAUAAGCGUUUGACAGAAAAUCGUGCGUGGCAUCGACUGAGCGACGCCAGAUCGCAAUCAGUUUUUCCCCUUCCUCAUGCCUUGAACGGCGAAUGUUAAUCAUCAUCUUCACUCCUUUUUUGCUUACUUCUAUUCUAAUGCAAAUGCUGUCGUGAAACUUUCUCACCUUGAACUUGCAGACUCGACAUUCGCCUGAUUUCUGAGUAUCUUCAGCUAUCUGGAUGUCUAAACGUUUAAACGUAUGUCGUGAGGUUAUCAGGUUAUGCCGAUUCGCGUGCUGGACGAGCUACCCGCCGUCAAUUUUUUACGUGAGGAGAAUGUCUUCGUCAUGACGACUUCUCGCGCAUCAGGUCAGGAAAUUCGCCCGCUAAAGGUACUUAUCCUUAACCUGAUGCCGAAGAAGAUUGAAACGGAAAAUCAGUUUCUGCGUUUGCUAUCGAACUCGCCAUUGCAGGUCGAUAUUCAACUACUGCGGAUAGAUGCCCGCGAGUCGAGGAACACGCCAGCCGAGCAUCUGAACAACUUUUACUGUAACUUCGACGAUAUCUGCGAUCAGAACUUUGAUGGGCUUAUCGUGACCGGAGCGCCGCUGGGUCUGGUGGAAUUUAAUGACGUGGCUUACUGGCCGCAGAUUAGGCAGGUGCUGGAAUGGGCGAAAGAUCACGUUACUUCGACGCUAUUUGUCUGUUGGGCCGUUCAGGCCGCACUCAAUAUUCUGUAUGGUAUCCCUAAGCAGACCCGUACAGAUAAACUUUCCGGCGUCUAUGAACAUCACAUCCUUCAUCCACAUGCUCUGUUAACGCGUGGUUUUGAUGAUUCGUUUCUGGCGCCACACUCACGCUAUGCCGAUUUCCCGGCGGCGCUGAUACGGGAUUAUACGGAUCUUGAAAUUCUGGCCGAAAGAGAAGAAGGGGAUGCGUACCUGUUUGCCAGCAAAGAUAAACGUAUUGCGUUUGUCACCGGUCAUCCUGAAUAUGACGCUCAUACGUUAGCGGGUGAAUAUUUUCGUG